GACGAACGCUGGCGGCGUGCUUAACACAUGCAAGUCGAACGGAAAGGCCUCUUUCGGGGGGUACUCGAGUGGCGAACGGGUGAGUAACACGUGAGUAACCUGCCCUUGACUUUGGGAUAACUUCAGGAAACUGGGGCUAAUACCGGAUAGGAGCUCCUGCUGCAUGGUGGGGGUUGGAAAGUUUCGGCGGUUGGGGAUGGACUCGCGGCUUAUCAGCUUGUUGGUGGGGUAGUGGCUUACCAAGGCUUUGACGGGUAGCCGGCCUGAGAGGGUGACCGGCCACAUUGGGACUGAGAGACGGCCCAGACUCCUACGGGAGGCAGCAGUGGGGAAUAUUGCACAAUGGGUGGAAGCCGGAUGCAGCAACGCCGUGUGCGGGAGGACGGCCUUCGGGUUGGAAACCGCUUUCGCUCAUGACGAAGCUUUGUGUGACGGUAGUGGGUAAAGAAGCACCGGCUAACUACGUG
This 467-nucleotide ribosomal RNA is filed under the name uncultured bacterium. RNAcentral describes it as "partial 16S ribosomal RNA". It matches the Rfam family "Bacterial small subunit ribosomal RNA", at positions 28 to 507 of the family's 1533-position model. The record is from RNAcentral.